AAGACAUUUGGACCGUCUGUCUACUGAGCCAUUUCAUCCGCUCAGUGGAAGACCUUCCCAACACGCCUU
This 69-nucleotide microRNA precursor is filed under the name Bombyx mori (domestic silkworm). RNAcentral's name for it is "mir-2774 microRNA precursor family". It matches the Rfam family "mir-2774 microRNA precursor family". Lineage: Eukaryota; Metazoa; Arthropoda; Insecta; Lepidoptera; Bombycidae. The record is from Rfam by way of RNAcentral.